CCACAUCUGACCCAAGUCCUAAAACAUUACUGGCCCAAAAUAGCCCAAACCCGUUAUACACACACCCAAACAAACUUGUUACACUCUACCUAGCCCAGGACUAAACCAAACCCAAAUAACAGAGGCCCACAACUUAAAAUUACCAGCUAGGGUUUCCAACCCUAGCUCUUUCUCCUCGCGCCGCAAACAGAAACUUCCAGAAGCCAUCCCAACGGACGCGUCUGCUCAUCUCUCACGUUGUUCCAGUGACCCUCCAUCAGCGCCGUGACUCUGCCUCCGUAAUCAGCGCGCGAAUCCACACCAGCACAUUCACUGCCAAAUUCUUCGAUGAUACCUGCAAAAGAAGGAAAGAACCACAACAGCAAACAAAACAAAUAUGGAAGGAAAGAUUUCUUUCCAAAAAUAUGUAAUAACAAUAGUGGCUAUAAAGCCCGAAUGCUUUCAUUGUACAAGGGACUGCAGAUUUUUACAGAAAUAAAUACACACGGAGAUUUCACACAGAAGAAACAGGAAAUGGAUUUUAUUUUAGAAGGUGAUUUUUUUUAUUUACGUUUCUUUUCUCUUUUCAUAGGAAUAUACAAAUUGUUUUUAAAAAAACUAGUAGCAUUCGAAAGAAAAGAGGAGUUACCUGUGGAAGGAUGACGGUUUUAGACCCUCAGACCACCGUGAACGACGGCGCGUGGGCGCGUGUAGGACCAAUGACCGAAGCGUGGCCUACGGAGGCUAGAGCCCGGAGCUCCUCUCCUCUCCCCUCUUUCAGAGGAAAUUUUUAAGUUUUUUUU
This 782-nucleotide long non-coding RNA is filed under the name Gossypium barbadense (sea-island cotton). RNAcentral describes it as "long non-coding RNA (GBAR_LNC002974)". Lineage: Eukaryota; Viridiplantae; Streptophyta; Magnoliopsida; Malvales; Malvaceae. The record is from RNAcentral.